CCUACGGGGAGCAGCAGUAGGGAAUAUUGCUCAAUGGGGGAAACCCUGAAGCAGCAACGUCGCGUGGAGGAUGAAGGUUUUCGGAUUGUAAACUCCUUUUGUUAGAGAAGAUAAUGACGGUAUCUAACGAAUAAGCACCGGCCAACUCCGUGCCAGCAGCAGCGGUAAUACGGAGGGUGCAAGCGUUACUCGGAAUCACUGGGCGUAAAGGGCGAGUAGGCGGGAUUGCAAGUCAGAUGUGAAAACCUAUGGCUUAACCAUAGAACUGCAGUUGAAACUGGUAUUCUAGAGUAUGGGAGAGGUAGGUGGAAUUCGUGGGGUAGGGGUAAAAUCCGUAGAGAUCAAGAAGAAUACUCAUUGCGAAGGCAACCUGCUAGAACAUAACUGACGCUGAUGCGCGAAAGCGUGGGGAGCAAACAGGAUUAGAUACCCGGGUAGUC
This 440-nucleotide ribosomal RNA is filed under the name uncultured bacterium. RNAcentral's name for it is "partial 16S ribosomal RNA". It matches the Rfam family "Bacterial small subunit ribosomal RNA", at positions 338 to 795 of the family's 1533-position model. The record is from RNAcentral.